Molecule: long non-coding RNA, 435 nt
Filed under: Brassica napus (rape)
Lineage: Eukaryota; Viridiplantae; Streptophyta; Magnoliopsida; Brassicales; Brassicaceae
Description: long non-coding RNA (BNAP_LNC001397)
Source: RNAcentral
CGUUUAGUGUUGUCUCAAGUAAUGAUAUGCUAAAUUGCUGAUAAUAUACAGAACAAAUAAAAUUUGUGACUAAUCAAAGUUCAAGUUCCAUUAAUCUUUUUUUUUGUCGGGGAUUUAUUUAGAUAUUACAAUUAUGAGAAAGAUUACAAAGACGAUUCGAUAACCGACAAUACUACCUGCCUUAUGAGGAUCUACGCCUAACUGCAUCAUUUGAGCCGUCCUAUGAAGAUCAAGUCUGACUGGAUUUACUUGCACCAUGUUGAGAAACCCUUGUAAGUCUUUCUUCCGUAAUCGCAUAAUUGUUGAAUAAAUCGCUUGCUCCGAGAAUUGAAACCUGGAUUUCCUAUGCAAUCUGCAAGAAAUUGCAUAGUCUGAGAUUUGAACUCCAGACCUGGGUGUAGAAGACUUUAAACCAUAACCAUUAGACUACGGUGC